UACGUAGGUGGCGAGCGUUGUCCGGAUUUACUGGGCGUAAAGAGCGCGCAGGCGGUCGUUCAAGUCGCGUGUGAAAGCCCCCGGCUCAACUGGGGAGGGUCACGCGAUACUGAUCGACUCGAAGGCAGGAGAGGGAAGUGGAAUUCCAGGUGUAGCGGUGAAAUGCGUAGAUAUCUGGAGGAACACCGGUGGCGAAGGCGGCAUCCUGGACCGGUAUUGACGCUGAGGAGCGAAAGCCAGGGGAGCAAACGGG
RNAcentral lists this ribosomal RNA (253 nucleotides) under uncultured bacterium. RNAcentral's name for it is "partial 16S ribosomal RNA". It matches the Rfam family "Bacterial small subunit ribosomal RNA", at positions 524 to 776 of the family's 1533-position model. The record is from RNAcentral.